Long non-coding RNA from Bubalus bubalis (water buffalo), 665 nucleotides. RefSeq lists it as uncharacterized. NCBI's taxonomy places the organism in Eukaryota, Metazoa, Chordata, Mammalia, Artiodactyla, Bovidae. The record is from RefSeq and is a predicted model, not a curated record. The transcript has 4 exons.
CACAAGAGCUUUCUCUCAACAGGAAUCACGCAGAGGUGAACACCACUCUCCAAAAUGAGAAAGUAUUUCAAUCAAUCAAGAUGUUACAUUUCUUUAGAAACUUGGAGCAGAGGAUUAAGAUGUGUGCUGUCUAUUCUACGGAAGAAAAGAAGGCUGUGACAUCACUGCAUAUGUGGAUGAAGCUGGCUUAUCCCUGCCCACUCCACACUCAGCUCACAGCAAGGCCAGCGGGACAGAGCAGAGCAUGAGCAACGCCUUCUUUUAAAAACCAUUUAACCAUCACUGCAAUCAAGACACCGAACAACUCCAUCACUCCCCUGAGCCUUUUGCAGUAAAUUCCAUCUACUCUUGGCCUGAGGCAGCCAGAGAUCUGCUUUCUGUCACUAUGGAUUAGUUUAGCCUGUCCUAGAGUUUCACAUAAAUGGAACUAUACAGUGAGAACUUUCAGGCUGGGAGAAGGGGGACGCAAAUGAGGUGCCUAAGAUACAAAGUUAAGCAGACACUCUCUCAAUUUCAUGCUAGUGACAACCCAGCAAUGUACCUUGUACUAUACUCAUUUGUAUCUGUUUCUUUUGCUGAGGUUCAUUAAUUUUGUUGUAUCAGUAGUUUGUUCAUUUUUAUUGCUGUGUAGUGUUCUAUGUUGUAAAUAUACAAUAGUUUAUUUA